This 94-nucleotide transfer RNA is filed under the name Chitiniphilus shinanonensis. RNAcentral describes it as "tRNA-Ser". It matches the Rfam family "tRNA". From Rfam's summary of the family: Transfer RNA (tRNA) molecules are approximately 80 nucleotides in length. Their secondary structure includes four short double-helical elements and three loops (D, anti-codon, and T loops). Further hydrogen bonds mediate the characteristic L-shaped molecular structure. tRNAs have two regions of fundamental functional importance: the anti-codon, which is responsible for specific mRNA codon recognition, and the 3' end, to which the tRNAs corresponding amino acid is attached (by aminoacyl-tRNA synthetases). tRNAs cope with the degeneracy of the genetic code in two manners: having more than one tRNA (with a specific anti-codon) for a particular amino acid; and 'wobble' base-pairing, i.e. permitting non-standard base-pairing at the 3rd anti-codon position. Lineage: Bacteria; Pseudomonadati; Pseudomonadota; Betaproteobacteria; Neisseriales; Chitinibacteraceae. RNAcentral also lists the same sequence under 2 other names. The record is from RNAcentral.
GGAGACGUGGAUGAGUGGCUGAAAUCACCUCCCUGCUAAGGAGGCAUACGGGCUUAAACCUGUAUCGAGGGUUCGAAUCCCUCCGUCUCCGCCA